GAUAAACGCUGGCGGCGUGCUUAACACAUGCAGGUCGAACGAAGUUUUUCCUUCGGGAGAAACUUAGUGGCGGACGGGGGCGUAACGCGUGGGUAACCUGCACUGUACAGGGGGACAACAGCUGUAAACGGCUGCUAAUACCGCAUAAGCCCUUAGCACUGCAUGGUGCAUAGGGAAAAGGAGCAAUCCGGUACGGGAUGGACCCGCGUCUGAUUAGCCAGUUGGCAGGGUAACGGCCUACCAAAGCGACGAUCAGUAGCCGAGCUGAGAGGAUGUACGGCCACACUUGCACUGAGACACGGCCCAGACUCCUACGGGAUGCAGCAGUGGGGAAUAGUGCACAAUGGAGGAAACUCUGAUGCAGCGACGCCGCGUGAGUGAAGAUGUAUUUCGGGAUGUAAAGCGCUAGCAGCAGGGAAGAACAUGACGGUACCUGACUAAGAAGCACCGGCUAACUACGUG
This 462-nucleotide ribosomal RNA is filed under the name uncultured bacterium. RNAcentral describes it as "partial 16S ribosomal RNA". It matches the Rfam family "Bacterial small subunit ribosomal RNA", at positions 28 to 507 of the family's 1533-position model. The record is from RNAcentral.